GAAGAAGCCUUUCGGGGUGGAUUAGUGGCGAACGGGUGAGUAACACGUGGGCAAUCUGCCCUUCACUCUGGGACAAGCCCUGGAAACGGGGUCUAAUACCGGAUAACACUCUGUCCCGCAUGGGACGGGGUUAAAAGCUCCGGCGGUGAAGGAUGAGCCCGCGGCCUAUCAGCUUGUUGGUGGGGUAAUGGCCUACCAAGGCGACGACGGGUAGCCGGCCUGAGAGGGCGACCGGCCACACUGGGACUGAGACACGGCCCAGACUCCUACGGGAGGCAGCAGUGGGGAAUAUUGCACAAUGGGCGAAAGCCUGAUGCAGCGACGCCGCGUGAGGGAUGACGGCCUUCGGGUUGUAAACCUCUUUCAGCAGGGAAGAAGCGCAAGUGACGGUACCUGCAGAAGAAGCACCGGCUAACUACGUGCCAGCAGCCGCGGUAAUACGUAGGGUGCGAGCGUUGUCCGGAAUUAUUGGGCGUAAAGAGCUCGUAGGCGGCUUGUCACGUCGGAUGUGAAAGCUCGGGGCUUAACCCCGAGUCUGCAUUCGAUACGGGCUAGCUAGAGUGUGGUAGGGGAGAUCGGAAUUCCUGGUGUAGCGGUGAAAUGCGCAGAUAUCAGGAGGAACACCGGUGGCGAAGGCGGAUCUCUGGGCCAUUACUGACGCUGAGGAGCGAAAGCG
This 676-nucleotide ribosomal RNA is filed under the name Streptomyces sp. qf4. RNAcentral describes it as "bacterial SSU rRNA". It matches the Rfam family "Bacterial small subunit ribosomal RNA", at positions 68 to 761 of the family's 1533-position model. Lineage: Bacteria; Bacillati; Actinomycetota; Actinomycetes; Kitasatosporales; Streptomycetaceae. The record is from RNAcentral. RNAcentral also lists the same sequence under 1 other name.